This 1376-nucleotide ribosomal RNA is filed under the name uncultured bacterium. RNAcentral's name for it is "bacterial SSU rRNA". It matches the Rfam family "Bacterial small subunit ribosomal RNA", at positions 27 to 1393 of the family's 1533-position model. The record is from RNAcentral.
GAUUGAACGCUGGCGGUAUGCUUAACACAUGCAAGUCGAACGGAAACGAUACUAGCUUGCUAGUAGGCGUCGAGUGGCGGACGGGUGAGUAACGCGUAGGAAUCUGCCUGAUAGUGGGGGAUAGCCCGAAGAAAUUCGGAUUAAUACCGCAUAAUCUAUUCGUAGUAAAGUGGGGGACUUUCGAGCCUCACGCUAUCAGAUGAGCCUGCGUAAGAUUAGCUUGUUGGUAGGGUAAAAGCCUACCAAGGCGACGAUCUUUAGCUGGUCUGAGAGGAUGAUCAGCCACAUCGGGACUGAGACACGGCCCGAACUCCUACGGGAGGCAGCAGUGGGGAAUAUUGGACAAUGGGGGCAACCCUGAUCCAGCAAUACCGCGUGUGUGAAGAAGGCCUGAGGGUUGUAAAGCACUUUCAAUUGUGAAGAAAAGUUAGCGGUUAAUAACCGUUAGCCUUGACGUUAACUUUAGAAGAAGCACCGGCUAACUCCGUGCCAGCAGCCGCGGUAAUACGGAGGGUGCAAGCGUUAAUCGGAAUUACUGGGCGUAAAGCGUGCGUAGGCGGUUUAUUAAGUCAGAUGUGAAAGCCCCGGGCUUAACCUGGGAAACUGCAUUUGAAACUGGUCAACUAGAGUAUGGUAGAGGAAAGUGGAAUUUCUGGUGUAGCGGUGAAAUGCGUAGAUAUCAGAAGGAACAUCAAUGGCGAAGGCAGCUUUCUGGACCAAUACUGACGCUGAGGUACGGAAGCGUGGGUAGCAAACAGGAUUAGAUACCCUGGUAGUCCACGCCGUAAACGAUGAUAACUAGCCGUUGGGGGGAUUUACCCUUUAGUGGCGAAGCUAACGCGUUAAGUUAUCCGCCUGGGGAGUACGGCCGCAAGGUUAAAACUCAAAGGAAUUGACGGGGACCCGCACAAGCGGUGGAGCAUGUGGUUUAAUUCGAUGCAACGCGAAGAACCUUACCUGGUCUUGACAUCCUGCGAACUUUCUAGAAAUAGAUUGGUGCCUUCGGGAACGCAGUGACAGGUGCUGCAUGGCUGUCGUCAGCUCGUGUCGUGAGAUGUUGGGUUAAGUCCCGUAACGAGCGCAACCCCUAUCCUUAUUUGCCAGCACAUCAUGGUGGGAACUAUAAGGAGACUGCCGGUGAUAAACCGGAGGAAGGCGGGGACGACGUCAAGUCAUCAUGGCCCUUACGACCAGGGCUACACACGUGCUACAAUGGGAAGGACAAAGAGCCGCGAAGCCGCGAGGUGUAGCUAAUCUCAUAAACCUUUUCGUAGUCCGGAUUGGAGUCUGCAACUCGACUCCAUGAAGUCGGAAUCGCUAGUAAUCGUAGAUCAGAAUGCUACGGUGAAUACGUUCCCGGGUCUUGUACACACCGC